RNAcentral lists this transfer RNA (69 nucleotides) under Marmota monax (woodchuck). RNAcentral describes it as "tRNA.Ala". The record is from RNAcentral. Lineage: Eukaryota; Metazoa; Chordata; Mammalia; Rodentia; Sciuridae.
GGUGUAGCUCUGUGGUAGAGCAUGUGCUUAGCAUGACCAAGGGCCUGUGUUCCAUCCCCAGCACAUACA